CCUACGGGUGGCUGCAGUAGGGAAUAUUGGACAAUGGGCGCAAGCCUGAUCCAGCCAUCCCGCGUGAAGGAUUAAGGCCCUAUGGGUUGUAAACUUCUUUUCUCUGGGAAUAAAAAGCGGGAUUUAUCCUGCCUUGAAGGUAUCAGAGGAAUAAGCACCGGCUAACUCCGUGCCAGCAGCCGCGGUAAUACGGAGGGUGCAAGCGUUAUCCGGAUUCACUGGGUUUAAAGGGAGCGUAGGUGGCUUUGUAAGUCAGUGGUGAAAUGUCGCAGCUU
This 275-nucleotide ribosomal RNA is filed under the name uncultured bacterium. Its description in RNAcentral is "partial 16S ribosomal RNA". It matches the Rfam family "Bacterial small subunit ribosomal RNA", at positions 338 to 610 of the family's 1533-position model. The record is from RNAcentral.